RNAcentral lists this ribosomal RNA (1021 nucleotides) under Lactobacillus helveticus. RNAcentral's name for it is "bacterial SSU rRNA". It matches the Rfam family "Bacterial small subunit ribosomal RNA", at positions 70 to 1069 of the family's 1533-position model. Lineage: Bacteria; Bacillati; Bacillota; Bacilli; Lactobacillales; Lactobacillaceae. The record is from RNAcentral.
GAUUUACUUCGGUAAUGACGCUGGGGACGCGAGCGGCGGAUGGGUGAGUAACACGUGGGGAACCUGCCCCAUAGUCUAGGAUACCACUUGGAAACAGGUGCUAAUACCGGAUAAUAAAGCAGAUCGCAUGAUCAGCUUAUAAAAGGCGGCGUAAGCUGUCGCUAUGGGAUGGCCCCGCGGUGCAUUAGCUAGUUGGUAAGGUAACGGCUUACCAAGGCAAUGAUGCAUAGCCGAGUUGAGAGACUGAACGGCCACAUUGGGACUGAGACACGGCCCAAACUCCUACGGGAGGCAGCAGUAGGGAAUCUUCCACAAUGGACGCAAGUCUGAUGGAGCAACGCCGCGUGAGUGAAGAAGGUUUUCGGAUCGUAAAGCUCUGUUGUUGGUGAAGAAGGAUAGAGGUAGUAACUGGCCUUUAUUUGACGGUAAUCAACCAGAAAGUCACGGCUAACUACGUGCCAGCAGCCGCGGUAAUACGUAGGUGGCAAGCGUUGUCCGGAUUUAUUGGGCGUAAAGCGAGCGCAGGCGGAAGAAUAAGUCUGAUGUGAAAGCCCUCGGCUUAACCGAGGAAUUGCAUCGGAAACUGUUUUUCUUGAGUGCAGAAGAGGAGAGUGGAACUCCAUGUGUAGCGGUGGAAUGCGUAGAUAUAUGGAAGAACACCAGUGGCGAAGGCGGCUCUCUGGUCUGCAACUGACGCUGAGGCUCGAAAGCAUGGGUAGCGAACAGGAUUAGAUACCCUGGUAGUCCAUGCCGUAAACGAUGAGUGCUAAGUGUUGGGAGGUUUCCGCCUCUCAGUGCUGCAGCUAACGCAUUAAGCACUCCGCCUGGGGAGUACGACCGCAAGGUUGAAACUCACAGGAAUUGACGGGGGCCCGCACAAGCGGUGGAGCAUGUGGUUUAAUUCGAAGCAACGCGAAGAACCUUACCAGGUCUUGACAUCUAGUGCCAUCCUAAGAGAUUAGGAGUUCCCUUCGGGGACGCUAAGACAGGUGGUGCAUGGCUGUCGUCAGCUCGUGUCGUG